Arvicola amphibius (Eurasian water vole) is the source of this 6625-nucleotide RNA transcript. It is a transcript of the gene named TAR DNA binding protein, with no coding region annotated. The record is from RefSeq and is a predicted model, not a curated record. The transcript is spliced from 7 exons. NCBI's taxonomy places the organism in Eukaryota, Metazoa, Chordata, Mammalia, Rodentia, Cricetidae.
GGGAGGCGGCCCUAGCGCCAUUUUGUGGGCACGAAGCGGUAGCUCGGCUGAGAUCGGGUCCCUCGUUGUCGCUGUUUCCUCGUCGUGCUUUCUGGUCGCGGCCUAGCGAAAAUUCGGCAAAGAUGUCUGAAUACAUCCGGGUAACAGAAGAUGAGAACGAUGAGCCCAUUGAGAUACCAUCAGAAGACGAUGGUACAGUGUUGUUGUCCACAGUUACAGCCCAGUUUCCAGGGGCCUGCGGCCUGCGCUACCGGAAUCCCGUGUCUCAGUGUAUGCGGGGUGUUCGGCUGGUGGAAGGAAUCCUGCAUGCCCCGGAUGCCGGCUGGGGAAAUCUGGUGUAUGUUGUCAACUAUCCUAAAGAUAACAAAAGAAAAAUGGAUGAGACAGAUGCUUCCUCGGCAGUGAAGGUGAAAAGAGCAGUCCAGAAAACAUCUGAUCUAAUAGUGUUGGGUCUCCCCUGGAAAACAACAGAACAAGAUCUUAAAGACUAUUUCAGCACUUUUGGAGAGGUUCUUAUGGUUCAGGUCAAGAAAGAUCUUAAAACUGGUCACUCAAAAGGGUUUGGCUUUGUUCGGUUUACGGAAUAUGAAACCCAAGUGAAAGUAAUGUCACAACGACAUAUGAUAGAUGGACGAUGGUGUGACUGUAAACUUCCGAAUUCUAAGCAAAGCCCAGAUGAACCUUUGAGAAGCAGAAAGGUGUUUGUUGGGCGUUGUACAGAGGAUAUGACUGCUGAAGAGCUUCAACAAUUCUUCUGUCAGUAUGGAGAAGUAGUAGAUGUCUUCAUUCCCAAACCAUUCAGGGCUUUUGCCUUUGUUACCUUUGCAGAUGAUAAGGUUGCCCAGUCUCUUUGUGGAGAGGAUUUGAUCAUUAAAGGAAUCAGCGUGCAUAUAUCCAAUGCUGAACCUAAGCAUAAUAGCAAUAGACAGUUAGAAAGAAGUGGAAGAUUUGGUGGUAAUCCAGGUGGCUUUGGGAAUCAGGGUGGGUUUGGUAACAGUAGAGGGGGUGGAGCUGGCUUGGGAAAUAACCAGGGUGGCAAUAUGGGUGGAGGAAUGAACUUCGGAGCUUUUAGCAUUAAUCCAGCGAUGAUGGCUGCAGCUCAGGCAGCAUUGCAGAGCAGUUGGGGUAUGAUGGGCAUGUUAGCCAGCCAGCAGAACCAGUCAGGUCCAUCUGGUAAUAACCAAAGCCAGGGCAGCAUGCAAAGGGAGCCAAAUCAGACAUUUGGUUCAGGGAAUAAUUCCUAUAGUGGUUCUAAUUCUGGUGCCCCUCUUGGUUGGGGGUCAGCAUCAAAUGCAGGGUCAGGCAGUGGUUUUAAUGGCGGCUUUGGCUCAAGCAUGGAUUCUAAAUCCUCUGGCUGGGGAAUGUAGGCAGUGCGGGGGGGGGGGGGAGGGUUGGUAGGUAGGUAGGUAUAGAAUGGUGGGAUUCAAAUUUUUCUAAACUCAUGGUAAGUAUAUUGUAAAAUACAUAUGUACUAAAAAUUUUCAGAUUGGUUUGUUCAGUGUGGAGUAUAUUCAGCAGUAUUUUUGACAUUUUUCUUUAGAAAAAGAGGAAAAGCUAAAUGAAUUUUAUAAGUUUUGUUAUAUAAAGGGUUAAAAUACUGAGUGGGUGAAAGUGAACUGCUGUUUGCCUAAUUGGUAAACCAACACUACAGUUGAUCUCAGAAGGUUUCUCUGUAAUGUUCUGUCAUUGGACUUGUUAAAUGGAUUCUUUGCAUGUUCAGAAUAGAAACCAUUGGUUAGAACUACAUUCUUUUCUCAUUUUAAUUUGAAUCCCACCCUAUGAAUUUUUUCCUUAGGAAUAUCUCCAUUUGGGAGAUCAUGAUGUCAUGGUGUUUGGUUCUUUUGGUUUUGUUUUUAACACUUGUCUUCCUUCAUAUACGAAAGUACAAUAUGAAGCCUUCAUUUAAUCUCUGCAGUUCAUCUCAUUUCAAAUGUUUAUGGAAGAAGCACUUCAUUGAAAGUAGUGCUGUAAAUAUUCUGCCAUAGGAAUACUUCUGUCUACAUGCUUUCUCAUCCAAGAAUUCGUCAUCACGCUGCACAGGCUGCGUCUUUGACGCCCUGAAUGCAAAGAAUUCAUAGCAGUUAAUUCCCCUUUUUGACCCUUUUGAGAUGGAACUUUCAUAAAGUUUCUUGGCAGUAGUUUAUUUUGCUUCAAAUAAACUUAUUUGAAAAGUUGUCUCAAGUCAAAUGGAUUCAUCACCUGUCAUGCAUUGACACCUGAUACCCAGACUUAAUUGCUAUUUGUUCUUGCAUUGUCCAAAGUGAAAGUUUUUCCAUGGGUUAUUCUGUUUUUUUUUUAUCUAGUUUUUCAUAAGUCUGGGUGACAGAACCUAAAAUGGUAAGCAGUUACCCUCCAGCUUGUUCUGAGUGCCUCUGUGCAUUUGAGUGAUUUUUCUAUUGACAUGGCUGUAUAAGUCUCCGUUGGGAACUCAUGCCUUCUAAAAAAAUACUAUUUGGGAGGGAGCAAAACAGUUGUUUCCAAAUGCUUUGUAGCAGAGCAUAUCAGUGGGAAAGAAGGGAUGAUAAACAUUCUGGGGGAUUUGAAAAGUGGAAUUAAUUGCAAUAGGGAUGAAGUAGAAGAAACCAUGUGCCUGAAAUCCAUUCAGAAGCCUGAUAGCUUUAAGAACUAGUAGGGUGGGUUUGUCUGUCUAUCUGUGGCAGUCUUUAAGUGAGGUGGGCUUGUCCCCUCUGGGGUGUAGGGGCAUGUAGUGACUGCUCACAAAAUCAGAUUAGACUCUCACAAUGCAUUGUUAAGAAUGUAAAAGCAAUAAUACCUUGAUUGUUGUACUUCCCUGUAACUACUGAGAACUGGGGAACUCCUUUUCUAACUGGAAAGAUGUGACCAUUUUUGUUGGUAGUUUCCCCACUGCCCUUACCUAAAUUAGAUGAUGAUAAAUAGGCUUGUCAUUUUGCAAGUUGCGUGUUUUGAAAUUUUAUAUCCUCUAGACUUGUGAACACAGUGUUUCAUUAUUAAGUAUCCUCUGUAAAAGGAUCUUGAGUUAUUGUAAAUUUUUUUCUCUGCAUCUAAAUCUGCAUGAUUUCCAAACCCUGUACAUCUGAAUUUUGCAUUUUAGCACUUGCACUAUUACUCAGCAGCAGUAACAUGGUAACAUUAAAAUGGUUUUCGGGGAGCUCCAAAGACUAAACUGGCAAGCCGUCCAGGAGUCCUGGGGUAAGUUACUUGUCGAUGGCAUGGUUUUGAUCCCUUGUUUGCACCUGUUAAAGAGUUACUGGUCAUCUAGAAGGCUUUCAAUGUUGAGUAGCCUUUUAAUAUGUUUAUGGUAUGAUGUAGCUGUAGAUAGUUAUUUGCCCUACAUGAAGUUUUAGAAAUAAACUACUUGGCAAAAAUUUGGUUUUGAACAUCUAUUUGGUUAUCAAAAUGCAUUCAUUCUUAAAAAACAGUCUUUGAACCGCAAUUGAAUAAAAAGUUUUAUUGCCACCAACAGUUUAGUGUCUGGAGUCUUACUGGAAAAAAACAUUUUUCAUGACAAAAAUGCCAGAAAGUUGUAACAGUGACUUCUGAGGGAAGGUGCAAUAUAGCAUUUUCAUCCAUUAAAAAAUGUGAGUCUCCAGCUGGGUGUGGUGGCACAUGUAUUUAAUCCCAGAAGUUGAGGCAUACACAUCUGAGUUGCAGGCCAGCUGUUGCUCCAUAGUGAUACUGUCCCAGAACUUGUUGGAAGAGACAAGUACAAUCAAAUGUGACACUUUAAGAUUAAGGCAGCAUCUUAGCAGGAGAGUAGCGGUUGCUUUGUGAGUUACCAUCGUUUCUGUUACAUAAGAGAAUAAAUUCACUGUGCAGUUUGCUGCUGCUGUGCCAUCUGUGAUCUGUUUGGCUCACCUGUGCCCAAGUCAUGCUCACUUAAGAACAGUCCGGGUAUAGUGGCAUACACUUUAAUACCCAGCACUUGUGAGGCUGAAGCAGAAUGAUAAAUUUGAGGUCGGCCUGGGCUACGCAGGCUGUCUCAAAAGGAGGUUAGGGUGUGGCAAGAUUCAGAAUGUUAUCUUAAUUGGCUUACCAAGCCAGCACACCCAAAGCCCAGGUUUAAUUGUCAGCACCAGAUAAAGUGAGGUGUGGUGGCACACCUUUAAUCCCUAAGCAUUAGGCUGGUAGGAGCAAAAGAAAGGUUGGGUUGUCUGCUACAUUACAGAGUUUUAAGGCCAGCCUACAGCAUGAACUCAUUGAUUAUGAAAAUCAACAGCAAGCCUUUAGUUGCUCAGAAAUGGAAACAGACAAUAGAUUGUAGAGAAUUGAAUACAACUUGACAUGGUAGGUUUGUGUGCAGGGUUGGUAAAAAAUAAACACCAUUGUAUUGAACACCGUGAGUCGACAAAGUUGACAUUGGCAAGUGCCUGUAACAGUUUAAUCCAGUUUAGUUUAGGGUGGGCCAUUGAUGAUUCUUGGGUUCUGUUACUGCUAAGAGCCUUUCCAGGUACUUGUAAGAAUAAUUCACAAUUCACAUUUGGAGGCAUGCAAGUUAAAAGUUACUCAUUAUGUUCUCAAUCCAGGAAAUAUAGUUUAUGACUUUGGUGUAGACCCCAUACUGAUCUGCCUCCCCACAAUUAAUGGAACCCCAGGAAACUAUACCUCCCACAAACCAUCGCUGUGUUUCAUUAUCUAGAAACACUAAUGCCCCUCCACUGUCACCUCUGCAACUGUCCUUGCCACCAGUUUGUAAGCCAGCACAGAUCAUGUUAGCAGUUACUCUUCCUCCUGGGUAGAGCUUCUUUGCAUAUGCAGAAGUACACUUUUGGUGGUCGACAAUUGGUAUGUCCACAAACAUUAGGUUUCUAGCAAGAAACCCCUUCUGGGUUAAGCCCCAGCCAGCCACAGUUCCAAUGGUAUCUGUCCUCAUUAAGGAUGCAGCUUCUUUUCUUGGCAGGCAAACAGGCAUGACACUUCCAUUGAUGGUGACUUUGUUCUUGAGUUUAAUCAGUGCUAUGUCAUUGUCAAAACCAGCAUCGUGAUUGUAACCUUCGUGUAUAAAGACAGCCUCGGGCCAGGCUUGGGUGUAAUGAGGUGAGAGCCUUUUGAGGAUACCCAUGCGAAUGUCCAGGGAGGACACAUCCUUUGUUACCCCAUACACAGCAUGAGCAGCUGUUAGGACCCAGUUGUCGUGUAAAAGAGCCCCUGCUGCUAUGGUCUCACCCAGUAGUAAGACUUGCCAAGGAAAGUCACCAGUCUUUGCGUGCUGCCCUCCAAAUAUGCGGCCUCCUGUAGAGAGUGUCGACAGCCCACAGACUGAGGAAAGAACAAAAGCAAGUUGAGUGUCAACAGUUCUAUCCCAUGGAUUGAUGGAUAGGUAGGCAUCCUCUGUUAGGCAAGUGAGGCUGUACUAGUUUUACUUGAUAAGUCCUUAUCUAGUUGCUUAGCUCCUCAAGAUCAGAUUUCACAGAUUCUUGUGUUUUGCUUUAUGAAAACAGAUGAGGGAAGCUGUAGACAAUAUGGACAGGAGUUGUGUGAACAAAGACAUGAGCACCACAUACAGGCGAAAGGUCAGGACUCUGCAUUGCUUGCUUUACCUCUGAGUUCAUUAGGAAUUCUGGGAAGGCAGGAAUUAAGAUUAUGGUUUGUAAAAAUCUAGUAAAUCAUAAUGUAGCAGCAAUGGCCAAGAUGCUUCUGGCUCUAAAAUUUGUGUUUCUGGUCUGGUUGAAUCAUCAAAACAUUAAGUUUACAGUGUCUCUGUUGCAAGCUAAUUACUCAGGAAUGCAGCACGUGUUUCUUAUUGUGGUCUUGUACUUUGAUUAAAACUUGGAAGCAGCAUGUGAACCAAAUACAGGGUUAGAAAACUAAUUUAAACCAGCUAACAUGGGGGUAAUGAGUGUAUUAUUACCUUUAAAUUUUUUUAAAGCAUUCUCAACUAUUAUUGUUGGAGCCAAUUCUGGUUUUAAACAAAAUUAAAUACUAUUAAAAGGCAAAUUGCAUUAAUGUUGAAAAACGUAGAUGUUGUUGAAAACAAUUGCUUAGGGAAAUAAUGAAGUUAUUAGCUUUGGGUUUUAAUAGCACUUUUACAGAGAAGAAAAGUAACUCAGCAAGAAUUCGUGUUUAUAAGUGUAUAAAUCGUUUUAGAUAAUUUAAAAAAUCAUUUAAUUUUUUACGCUUGCCUAAUCAUAAGGUCAAAAAUAGUCAAAUGAGUGAUGCACCUAGCAGCCUCUGUGUGCAAAGGGGUAAUGAGAACACGCUUGGGAGUUAUGUUGGCCUAAGCCAGCCUCUGAGCUCCCUGUCUGCCUGUUAUCCCCCAUCUACUCUGUGUCAGCUGUGAAUCUCUUUUAUAAAUGCGUCCAUUACCAGGCUUGCAAACCGGGAGGAAUUUUUCUCCUUUGGAGCUCGUCCAGAAUCCAUCAGCUUCACACACAUAUUUACCUGCAAAUCGUUGGAAAAGCAAAAAUGUUUAACUGUGGUUGUCAUUUGCUUGAAUAACCCCUUGAAAAAUGUUGAUUCUUGAGCAUCCAUGGUGGGGAGAGGUGUGUGAAUAACCAUUUUACAUGAUUUCAUAAAUAGCUGUCUGCAUUACCAUGUUUGCUUGCAAAGUGGAAACCUUUUAGAUGUGUAACUUGAAUAUGUAUCAAGAUCUCAAGUGCUUAAUGAUAAGGUUUUUGACUUGUUAAAUUAAACCAUUUGGAAUAUA